This 635-nucleotide ribosomal RNA is filed under the name Hepatozoon canis. Its description in RNAcentral is "SSU rRNA". It matches the Rfam family "Eukaryotic small subunit ribosomal RNA", at positions 138 to 759 of the family's 1831-position model. The record is from RNAcentral. Lineage: Eukaryota; Apicomplexa; Hepatozoidae.
CAUGGAUAACCGUGGUAAUUCUACAGCUAAUACAUGAGCAAAAUCUCAACUUUAUUAGAAGAGACGCAUUUAUUAGAUAAAAAGCCAAUGCAUGCUUUUACAGUAUGAAAAUUGGUGAUUUAUAAUAACUUAGCAAAUCGCAAAGUGAAAACAGGCGAUAAAUCAUUCAAGUUUCUGACCUAUCAGCUUUCGACGGUAUGGUAUUGGCUUACCGUGGCAGUGACGGUUAACGGGGGAUUAGGGUUCGAUUCCGGAGAGGGAGCCUGAGAAACGGCUACCACAUCUAAGGAAGGCAGCAGGCGCGCAAAUUACCCAAUUCUAACAGUUUGAGAGAGGUAGUAACAAGAAAUAACAAUACAAGGCAGUUAAAAUGCUUUGUAAUUGGAAUGAUAGAAAUUUAAACCCUUUUUAAAGUAUCAAUUGGAGGGCAAGUCUGGUGCCAGCAGCCGCGGUAAUUCCAGCUCCAAUAGCGUAUAUUAAAAUUGUUGCAGUUAAAAAGCUCGUAGUUGAAGUUCUGCUAAAAGUAACCGGUCUGCUUUUAAUAAAAGUGGUAUCUUGGUAUGUAUUUAGCAAUGAUGUCCUUUGAAGUGUUUUUUACUUUAUUGUAAUAAAGCAUAUUCAGGACUUUUACUUUG